GAAUAUUGGACAAUGGGGGGAACCCUGAUCCAGCCAUGCCGCGUGUGUGAAGAAGGCCGGUUGGUUGUGAAGCACUUUAAGCGAGGGGGAGGCGACUCUAGGUAGUACGUAGAGAUGGUGGACGUUACUCGCAGAGUAAGCACCGGCUAACUCUGUGCCAGCAGCCGCGGUAAUACAGAGGGUGCAAGCGUUAAUCGGAUUUACUGGGCGUAAAGCGCGCGUAGGUGGCCAAUUAAGUCAAAUGUGAAAUCCCCGAGCUUAACUUGGGAAUUGCAUUCGAUACUGGUUGGCUAGAGUAUGGGAGAGGAUGGUAGAAUUCCAGGUGUAGCGGUGAAAUGCGUAGAGAUCUGGAGGAAUACCGAUGGCGAAGGCAGCCAUCUGGCCUAAUACUGACACUGAGGUGCGAAAGCAUGGGGAGCAAACA
This 424-nucleotide ribosomal RNA is filed under the name uncultured bacterium. RNAcentral's name for it is "partial 16S ribosomal RNA". It matches the Rfam family "Bacterial small subunit ribosomal RNA", at positions 359 to 774 of the family's 1533-position model. The record is from RNAcentral.